UCCUUAGAUGUUCUGGGCCGCACGCGCGCUACACUGAUGCAUGCAACAAGUCUUUUCCUUGGCCGAGAGGCCUGGGCAAUCUUUGAAUAUGCAUCGUGAUGGGGAUAGACGAUUGCAAUUAUUCGUCUUCAACGAGGAAUUCCUAGUAAACGCAAGUCAUCAGCUUGCAUUGAUUACGUCCCUGCCCUUUGUACACACCGCCCGUCGCACCUACCGAUUGAAUGGUCCGGUGAAGGCUUCGGAGGCGGCUUUCUCAAUGUUUAUUCGGCGAGACUGCUGCCAAAGUUGAAUGAACCUUACCAUUUAGAGGAAGGUGAAGUCGUAACA
This 327-nucleotide ribosomal RNA is filed under the name uncultured eukaryote. RNAcentral's name for it is "partial 18S ribosomal RNA". It matches the Rfam family "Eukaryotic small subunit ribosomal RNA", at positions 1470 to 1796 of the family's 1831-position model. The record is from RNAcentral.